AGUUUGAUCAUGGCUCAGAUUGAACGCUGGCGGCAGGCCUAACACAUGCAAGUCGAGCGGAUGACGGGAGCUUGCUCCCUGAUUUAGCGGCGGACGGGUGAGUAAUGCCUAGGAAUCUGCCUGGUAGUGGGGGAUAACGUUCCGAAAGGAACGCUAAUACCGCAUACGUCCUACGGGAGAAAGCAGGGGACCUUCGGGCCUUGCGCUAUCAGAUGAGCCUAGGUCGGAUUAGCUAGUUGGUGAGGUAAUGGCUCACCAAGGCGACGAUCCGUAACUGGUCUGAGAGGAUGAUCAGUCACACUGGAACUGAGACACGGUCCAGACUCCUACGGGAGGCAGCAGUGGGGAAUAUUGGACAAUGGGCG
This 365-nucleotide ribosomal RNA is filed under the name Pseudomonas sp. RNAcentral describes it as "bacterial SSU rRNA". It matches the Rfam family "Bacterial small subunit ribosomal RNA", at positions 10 to 377 of the family's 1533-position model. The record is from RNAcentral. Lineage: Bacteria; Pseudomonadati; Pseudomonadota; Gammaproteobacteria; Pseudomonadales; Pseudomonadaceae.